RNAcentral lists this ribosomal RNA (253 nucleotides) under uncultured bacterium. RNAcentral describes it as "partial 16S ribosomal RNA". It matches the Rfam family "Bacterial small subunit ribosomal RNA", at positions 524 to 776 of the family's 1533-position model. The record is from RNAcentral.
UACAGAGGGGGCAAGCGUUGUUCGGAAUUACUGGGCGUAAAGGGCGCGUAGGCGGCCUGCUAAGUCGAACGUGAAAUCCCUGGGCUCAACCCAGGAACUGCGUCCGAUACUGGUUGGCUUGAAUCCGGGAGAGGGAUGUGGAAUUCCAGGUGUAGCGGUGAAAUGCGUAGAUAUCAGGAGGAACACCGGUGGCGAAGGCGGGUCUCUGGGCCGUAACUGACGCUGAGGAGCGAAAGCGUGGGGAGCGAACAGG